UGCAGGGCUGGAGUGGGGGAGGGGAGGAUGGAGAAAGCGGGGAGGGGUAGGCCACAUCUUUCAUGCAGGGUGUUGGAGGCUGGGCGGGCUGUGAGGUGGCUUUGAGGAUGAGAGAGUGGGUGUCCCUGCCAGGUGUGGCACCCAGAAAGGCCUUGACAAGCCUGUGGAGGGAAUGAAAUAGGCUCCUGGGCCUUCGGGAUGAGGUAAAGUGCAGUCGGUGAAGGGCACAGGGAGGCCUGCCCGGGCCCAGGAGACCUCGUAGGCGAGGAGCCUGUGACCCAGGGCCUGGAGCCACGGGGAGCAGUUCAUCGGGCAGGAAUGAGGGGAGGGCUCACCAGGAGGGGCGCUGGAGGAGCCAGGGCCGGGAGCCAAGAGAGGGAGAGUUCUUUGGGUAGCCCUGACUGCAGGGGAGAGGGCACCAACCCUUGUGGGGAGAGAGGCAAGGCUGGAGAGGGAGGGGUCUUCAGGGUGGGAUUGGUGAGGGACUGGGGACAGGCAGGAGACAGGACCUCUGCGGGGGUGUUUGCUUUUUAUUUGAUUUCCCAAGUAAUGCAUGAUUGUGAUGGGAGGAUCAGAGACUGCAGAGUAUAAAUAAAAGAAGGAAAUAAAGAGCACUACUCAGAAAUAAACCCAUUAACACUUGCUGUGUGGCCUUGGGCAAGUUACUUCACCUCUCUGUGCCUCCAUUUUCUUGUUUAUUAAGUGGAAUAAUUAAUAGUACCUGCCUCAUAAGGUUGUUGUGAAGCUUAAGUGAGAUAACACAACAAAUUUAAAGCAGUGCCACACACAGUAGGUAUUAGCUGUCAUCAUUAUUCAUAUCAUCAUUACCAUUUUGGUGGGUUAGGAGCUUAGAUGCUAGAAUUGGAAUGCUGGUGUUCUGAAUUCAACAUUUUCUUUUUUUUUUUUCCCCCUUGAGACGAAGUCUUGCUCUGUCAUCCAGGCUGGAGUGCAGUUGCGUGAUCUCA
This 965-nucleotide long non-coding RNA is filed under the name Homo sapiens (human). RNAcentral describes it as "HSALNT0268562". The record is from RNAcentral. Lineage: Eukaryota; Metazoa; Chordata; Mammalia; Primates; Hominidae.